This 486-nucleotide ribosomal RNA is filed under the name uncultured bacterium. RNAcentral's name for it is "partial 16S ribosomal RNA". It matches the Rfam family "Bacterial small subunit ribosomal RNA", at positions 28 to 507 of the family's 1533-position model. The record is from RNAcentral.
GACGAACGCUGGCGGCGUGCUUAACACAUGCAAGUCGAACGCUGAAGCCCUGGCUUUUGUUGGGUUGGAUGAGUGGCGAACGGGUGAGUAACACGUGAGUAACCUGCCCUCUUCUUUGGGAUAACGCCCGGAAACGGGUGCUAAUACUGGAUAUUCACUGAUCUUCGCAUGGGGGUUGGUGGAAAGGUUUGUUCUGGUGGGGGAUGGGCUCGCGGCCUAUCAGCUUGUUGGUGGGGUGAUGGCCUACCAAGGCUUUGACGGGUAGCCGGCCUGAGAGGGUGACCGGUCACAUUGGGACUGCGAUACGGCCCAGACUCCUACGGGGGGCAGCAGUGGGGAAUAUUGCACAAUGGGCGAAAGCCUGAUGCAGCGACGCCGCGUGAGGGAUGGAGGCCUUCGGGUUGUAAACCUCUUUCGCUCAUGGUCAAGCCGCAACUGUGGGUUGUGGUGAGGGUAGUGGGUAAAGAAGCGCCGGCUAACUACGUG